UAUUCUGCCCCAGGGGGAAGGAUGAGAAGCUUCGACUAAGGUUCGACUCGAGCGCCAGCGAGAGAACGGUGCCACAGGCAACGGCCCGAAGGGCGAGGCGCUUUAGCGCCGAGUAAUCCUUCCCCCACCCCCA
RNAcentral lists this small RNA (133 nucleotides) under Klebsiella pneumoniae. Its description in RNAcentral is "RtT sRNA". It matches the Rfam family "RtT RNA". From Rfam's summary of the family: This family represents a bacterial cis-regulatory element known as RtT RNA. The exact function of RtT is unknown although it is thought that it may be involved in changing the cellular response in relation to amino acid starvation. Lineage: Bacteria; Pseudomonadati; Pseudomonadota; Gammaproteobacteria; Enterobacterales; Enterobacteriaceae. The record is from RNAcentral.